Molecule: long non-coding RNA, 531 nt
Filed under: Scleropages formosus (Asian bonytongue)
Lineage: Eukaryota; Metazoa; Chordata; Actinopteri; Osteoglossiformes; Osteoglossidae
Description: lncRNA (ENSSFOG00015024722.1)
Source: RNAcentral
UGCAGUUUCAGGACAGACUGGAUGACGUUGCAAUCUGAGACUCAAAGCAGGCAAGUGUUGCAGGGUAAGAGAUUUACUUUCUCAAAGCACCUUUCCCAGUAUCCCUGGAACAGAAAGACAGUAUGAACUGACGAUGACGUCGUUUGGAGAUACAAGUUGCCGGGCCGCCAGAACUCAAUUUCAGCUGAGCAGCGUCAAGCAUACGAGUGGGGCUUGGAACCUUGCUGAGACCCUGGGAGCCUGGCCAUGCUCAGAGUGGAAAGGAACCCCUUCUGGCUGCUGGCAGACCAUAAAGACUGUGAAGGGGUCUAGAGGAAACGGUCAAGGAGAACAUUGCUGAGAACCUCCAGGUUCACCCGGGCUCCAGUCAGAUCUCCAUGUGAUUCCAUGUGACAACAGAAUUGGGCGACGCUGCGAGUCCUGGACUGCCCAGAAACCUGGAUGUUCCAGCACGUGCUGGUGGGCAGGCUUCUCAGACCAUCGACCAUCACGAUUAUCGGAACACGAAUAACCUUCCCUCCGCAUGAACCC